This 405-nucleotide unclassified non-coding RNA is filed under the name soil metagenome. RNAcentral describes it as "partial contains 5.8S ribosomal RNA, internal transcribed spacer 2, and large subunit ribosomal RNA". The stretch from base 1 to 121 matches the Rfam family "5.8S ribosomal RNA", at positions 35 to 154 of the family's 154-position model. The record is from RNAcentral.
GAUGAAGAACGUAGCGAAAUGCGAUAAGUAAUGUGAAUUGCAGAAUUCAGUGAAUCAUCGAAUCUUUGAACGCACCUUGCGCCCUUUGGACAUUCCGAAGGGCAUGCCUGUUUGAGUAUCAUGAACACCUCAACUCUCACGGCUUGUCCGUGAUGAGCUUGGACUUUGGGGGUCUUGCCGGCCUGUGGUCGGCUCCUCUCAAAUGGAUCAGCUUGCCAGUGUUUGGUGGCAUCACAGGUGUGAUAACUAUCUGCGCUUGUGGUUUUCCAUCAGAUAACCUUCAGUGAUAUGGAGGUUCGCUGGAGCUCACAAAUGUCUCUCCUUAGUGAGGACAGCUCUUUGAACGUUUGAUCUCAGAUCAGGUAGGACUACCCGCUGAACUUAAGCAUAUCAAUAAGCGGAGGA